CCUACGGGGGGCAGCAGUGAGGAAUAUUGGUCAAUGGACGCGAGUCUGAACCAGCCAUGCCGCGUGCAGGAAGACGGCCCUAUGAGUUGUAAACUGCUUUUGUACGGGGAUAAAGUGCGACACGUGUGCCUUUUUGUAUGUACCUUAUGAAUAAGGAUCGGCUAACUCCGUGCCAGCAGCCGCGGUAAUACGGAGGAUCCAAGCGUUAUCCGGAUUUAUUGGGUUUAAAGGGUGCGUAGAUGGGUGGUUAAGUCAGUUGUGAAAUCUUGCGGCUCAACCGUGAAAUUGCCUUUGAUACUGGCAGGCUAGAGUACAGUUGAGGUAGGCGGAAUUCGUGGUGUAGCGGUGAAAUGCUUAGAUAUCACGAAGAACUCCGAUUGCGAAGGCAGCAUACUAAACUGCAACUGACAUUGAUGCUCGAAAGUGUGGGUAUCAAACAGGAUUAGAUACCCCUGUAGUC
Molecule: ribosomal RNA, 460 nt
Filed under: uncultured bacterium
Lineage: Bacteria
Description: partial 16S ribosomal RNA
Rfam family: Bacterial small subunit ribosomal RNA
Source: RNAcentral